UACGUAGGUGGCAAGCGUUGUCCGGAUUUACUGGGAGUAAAGGAUGCGUAGGCGGAUGUUUAAGUGAGAUGUGAAAUACCUGAGCUCAACUUGGGUGCUGCAUUUCAAACUGGAUAUCUAGAGUGCGGGAGAGGAAAGCGGAAUUCCUAGUGUAGCGGUGAAAUGCGUAGAGAUUAGGAAGAACACCAGUGGCGAAGGCGGCUUUCUGGACCGUAACUGACGCUGAGGCAUGAAAGCGUGGGGAGCAAACAGG
RNAcentral lists this ribosomal RNA (253 nucleotides) under uncultured bacterium. RNAcentral's name for it is "partial 16S ribosomal RNA". It matches the Rfam family "Bacterial small subunit ribosomal RNA", at positions 524 to 776 of the family's 1533-position model. The record is from RNAcentral.